This 460-nucleotide ribosomal RNA is filed under the name uncultured bacterium. Its description in RNAcentral is "partial 16S ribosomal RNA". It matches the Rfam family "Bacterial small subunit ribosomal RNA", at positions 338 to 795 of the family's 1533-position model. The record is from RNAcentral.
CCUACGGGAGGCAGCAGUGAGGAAUAUUGGUCAAUGGGCGCGAGCCUGAACCAGCAACGCAGCGUGAAGGAAGAAUGCUCUACGGGUUGUAAACUUUUUUUAUAAAGGAGUACAGUGAGGGACGCGUGCCAUUUUGUCUGCACUUUAUGAAUAAGCCUCGGCUAACUCCGUGCCAGCAGCCGCGGUAUUAUGGGGGUUCCGUGCGUUAACCGGAUUUAUUGGGUUUAAAGGGAGCGUAGACGGGUUGUUAAGUCCGAUGUGAAAGCUUGCGGCUCAACCGUAGAAUUGCAAUUGAUACUGUCAGUCUUGAUUACAGUAGAGGUAGGCGGAAUUCGUAGUGUAGCGGUGAAAUGCUUAGAUAUCACGAAGAACUCCGAUUGCGAAGGCAGCUUACUGAACUGCCACUGACAGUGAGGCUCGAAAGUGUGGGGAUCAAACAGGAUUAGAUACCCGAGUAGUC